GCUUACGGCCACACCGCCUGGUUCACGCCCCGAUCUCGUUUGAUCUCGGAAGAUAAGAUAGGUUGGGCCUGGUUAGUACUUGGAUGGGAGACCGCCUGGGAAUACCAGGUGCUUUAAGCU
Molecule: ribosomal RNA, 120 nt
Filed under: Scophthalmus maximus (turbot)
Lineage: Eukaryota; Metazoa; Chordata; Actinopteri; Pleuronectiformes; Scophthalmidae
Source: RNAcentral